This 885-nucleotide ribosomal RNA is filed under the name Rhodococcus sp. p2(2006). RNAcentral describes it as "bacterial SSU rRNA". It matches the Rfam family "Bacterial small subunit ribosomal RNA", at positions 40 to 936 of the family's 1533-position model. The record is from RNAcentral. Lineage: Bacteria; Bacillati; Actinomycetota; Actinomycetes; Mycobacteriales; Nocardiaceae.
AGUCGUAGCAGUAGCUCGUGCAUGUCUAGUAGACGUAGCUAGGUAUAGUUAAAUUAGUGUAAACGUGUGAGUAACACCUGAGUGAUCUGCCCUGCGCUCUGUAAUAACCCUGGGAAACUGGGUCUAAUACCGGAUAUGACCUCUUGAUGCAUGGUCUGGGGUGGAAAGUUUUUCGGUGCAGGAUGAGCCCGCGGCCUAUCAGCUUGUUGGUGGGGUAAUGGCCUACCAAGGCGACGACGGGUAGCCGGCCUGAAAGGCCGACCGGCCACACUGGGACUGACACACGGCCCUCACUCCUACGGGAGGCAGCAGUGGGUAAUAUUGCACAAUGGGCGCAAGCCUGAUGCAGCGACGCCGCGUGAGGAAUGACGGCCUUCGGGUUGUAAACCUCUUUCACCCAUGACGAAGCUGCAAGUGACGGUAGUGGGAGAAGAAGCACCGGCCAACUACGUGCCAGCAGCCGCGGUAAUACGUAGGGUGCGAGCGUUGUCCGGAAUUACUGGGCGUAAAGAGCUCGUAGGCGGUUUGUCUCGUCGUCUGUGAAAUCCCGCAGCUCAUCUGCUCCCUUGCAUGCGAUACGGACAUACUCGAGUACUGGAGGGGAGACUGUAAUUCCUGGUGUAACGGUGAUAUGCGCGUAUAUCAGGAGGAACACCAUUUGGCGGAGGAGGGUCUCUGGGCAGUAACUGACGCUGAGGAGCGACUGCGUGUCAUGCGAAAAGGAUUAGAUACCCUGGUAGUCCACGCCGUAUGCGGUGCGCGCUAGGAGUGAUGUUCCUUGCACGGUAUCUCUGACGUGACCCACGCAUUAAGCUCAUCGCCUGGAGUGACCGCCCGCGAGACUAAAACUCAAGGAAGAGACUCGGAGCCAAUUGAAGGGGCCCA